AAUAAAAAAUUUAAAAUUCGUAUAAGCCUAAAAUAUGGAAGGGUGUCUCUACGGUUGACCGCAAAUUAACCAACUACGAAAAAUAUUUUUAC
Molecule: non-coding RNA, 92 nt
Filed under: uncultured Fusobacterium sp.
Lineage: Bacteria; Fusobacteriati; Fusobacteriota; Fusobacteriia; Fusobacteriales; Fusobacteriaceae
Description: Purine riboswitch
Rfam family: Purine riboswitch aptamer
About the family: Riboswitches are metabolite binding domains within certain messenger RNAs that serve as precision sensors for their corresponding targets.
Source: RNAcentral